UGGGGAAUAUUGGACAAUGGGGGCAACCCUGAUCCAGCAAUGCCGCGUGUGUGAAGAAGGUCUUCGGAUUGUAAAGCACUUUCGACGGGGACGAUGAUGACGGUACCCGUAGAAGAAGCCCCGGCUAACUUCGUGCCAGCAGCCGCGGUAAUACGAAGGGGGCUAGCGUUGCUCGGAAUGACUGGGCGUAAAGGGCGUGUAGGCGGUUUACACAGUCAGAUGUGAAAUCCCCGGGCUUAACCUGGGAGCUGCAUUUGAUACGUGUAGACUAGAGUGUGAGAGAGGGUUGUGGAAUUCCCAGUGUAGAGGUGAAAUUCGUAGAUAUUGGGAAGAACACCGGUGGCGAAGGCGGCAACCUGGCUCAUGACUGACGCUGAGGCGCGAAAAGCGUGGGGAGCAAACAGGUUAGAUACCCUGGUAGUCCACGCCU
RNAcentral lists this ribosomal RNA (430 nucleotides) under uncultured bacterium. RNAcentral's name for it is "partial 16S ribosomal RNA". It matches the Rfam family "Bacterial small subunit ribosomal RNA", at positions 355 to 802 of the family's 1533-position model. The record is from RNAcentral.